AUGUCAAAGUUGGGGCAUUUUCUGAAAAAAUUGUUGAACCUCUCCUAUGCCUCAGGAUAGCUCUCUAAAUCUUUCUGUUUGAAGGCGUGGAUGUUAUUUCUGAUUU
This 106-nucleotide small nucleolar RNA is filed under the name Olea europaea subsp. europaea. RNAcentral's name for it is "Plant small nucleolar RNA R71". It matches the Rfam family "Plant small nucleolar RNA R71". From Rfam's summary of the family: R71 is a member of the C/D box family of snoRNAs containing the C (UGAUGA) and D (CUGA) box motifs. Multiple nearly identical copies of this snoRNA have been identified in Arabidopsis, and it is thought to function as a 2'-O-ribose methylation guide for 18S ribosomal RNA. Lineage: Eukaryota; Viridiplantae; Streptophyta; Magnoliopsida; Lamiales; Oleaceae. The record is from Rfam by way of RNAcentral.